AUUGAACGCUGGCGGCAUGCCUUACACAUGCAAGUCGAGCGGCAGCACGGGUGCUUGCCCCUGGUGGCGAGUGGCGAACGGGUGAGUAAUACAUCGUAACAUGUCCUCUAGUGGGGGAUAGCCCGGCGAAAGUCGGAUUAAUACCGCCUACGAUCUCCGGAUGAAAGCGGGGGACCUUCGUGCCUCGCGCUGUAGGGUUGGGCGGUAGCUGAUUAGCUAGUUGGUGGGGUAAAGGCCUACCAAGGCGACGAUCAGUAGCCGGUCUGGGAGGACGACCAGCCGCACUGGGACUGAGACACGGACCAGACUCCUACGGGAGGCAGCAGUGGGGAAUUUUGGACAAUGGGCGAAAGCCUGAUCCAGCAAUGCCGCGUGUGUGAAGAAGGCCUUCGGGUUGUAAAGCACUUUUGUCCGGAAAGAAAUCCUUGGCUCUAAUACAGUCGGGGGAUGACGGUACCGGAAGAAUAAGCACCGGCUAACUACGUG
This 486-nucleotide ribosomal RNA is filed under the name uncultured bacterium. RNAcentral describes it as "partial 16S ribosomal RNA". It matches the Rfam family "Bacterial small subunit ribosomal RNA", at positions 30 to 507 of the family's 1533-position model. The record is from RNAcentral.